RNAcentral lists this long non-coding RNA (1114 nucleotides) under Capsella grandiflora. RNAcentral describes it as "long non-coding RNA (CGRA_LNC001754)". The record is from RNAcentral. Lineage: Eukaryota; Viridiplantae; Streptophyta; Magnoliopsida; Brassicales; Brassicaceae.
CACUGUUUUUAUCUUCUAGUUAUGUUAUGUCACUUGAGUUCUCACUCGAACUUCUGACUUCUCUAUAAUUCUCAUUAGCCAGGAGAGAAACAAACAUUAAGGCAUAUACAUGUAUACAAGGUAAACAGUACUUCUGACUUCUCUAUAAUUCGUCUAGCUUGUUCACUGUAUAUUCCAUUAGAAAGAUUUAUUGCUAGUUAAAUUGUAUCGAAUAUGUUUUAUGGAGACUUCACCGAACAUGAAGAUGAUCUGUUUUGCUGCCAUGACUUUGUUCAGUUUGUUUAGUAAAACUGCUUUUAUGCUUUCUUGACUUCAAUGAUGUGGGAUCAAUUAGAUAUGUUGUAUUCUGAGUUUAUAUAUGAUCUGCCUAGGAAAACAUAUAAUGAGUUUUUAGUGUUUUGUGAAAAGCAAAGAAAAAAAAGUUUUUGCAUUUUGCAUUUUUAAAGUGAAGACACUAAUUAUGCAUGUACCAAAAAUGUUGACAAGCGGAAGUAAAAAUAUUAUAAUGAAAACUGGUCUUGAUUAACUUUGCAGAGUGGUAGUGAAGGAACAGAACAGAGCCUAGGGCUGUGUCCAGAGUUUUCCAUCUUCUGCUUGAGUACCCUUUUGAAGUUAACGAUUGAAGCAUAUAUGUUUUUGUUUUUUUAUUUAAUAUUGUGUAGCUGUGUGUAUAGGGUGUGGUUGAAAAAAUGGUGACAUGUGUGUGCAUCAUAGUAGUAGUAGUAGUAGGUGUGUAUAGAGUGAAUGUGCGUAUACGUAUACUCGCGUGUGUGUGAUGUGGGCGACUGAGCGUAGUGGCAUGGCGAACAUACAAAAAUGACUAAAGCCAAUCACACAAACCAAAUGAUAGAUAGCCAAAACACUAAAGAUUCUUAACUUGGAACCUAAUUGAUUAACCAAUCCAAGCGCCAAAACCAGACGAUCACGAAAUACACAAAAAUGACUUGACUCGUUUAAGAGCAAACUAUCGCUGAAGGAGACACACACACAAAUGAUUAAUAAAGAUCUUAUUCGCCAAAAACUAGAGGAAGCAAAAAAUGACUUACGCCCGCUCUUAAUCAAAGACUACAAAUGAUAUAGCUAGACGAAACACACAUAAUAAAAUGACUAAGAC